GAGACAGCGCCGCCGGCCGUGGGGAGCGGACGCAGUGAUUUGCUCCCCCUCGUGCAGCAACCCCCACACCCAGCACCAGGAGCCUGUUCCUCUCACGCCCUCACCUGGCUGAGCCGCAGUAGUUCUUCAGUGGCAAGCUUUAUGUCCUGACCCAGCUAAAGCUGCCAGUUGAAGAACUGUUGCCCUCUGCCCCUGGCUUCGAGGAGGAGGAGGAGCUGCUUUCCCCAUCAUCUGGAAGGUGACAGAAAUGGGCUGGGAAGGUCCGGACAGCAGGGUGGAUGAUAACAUUUUGGGCAAGUUGGAGAGCCUUUGCCCAGAUUGGCCCGGCAAGGAGCGGUUUUAGAUUAGAGACACUGGCUGGAUUGAGGAGUAGAAGGCUCAAACAACCCAAGGAAGCUGUGUCUGUUCGAUUUGGUGGGAGGAGAUGUGCAGGGAGCUGUAUCUUGUCCUCCGCUUGUGAAAAACUCAAGGAUGUGGAGAAGAGUAGACCGUGGAACCCUGCUCUUCUGCAGCCAAGCUGAGGGGCAGGAUGCGUGUGGGACAGUGGUAGAGAAGCAGGGGAUAGACUCAUAGGCUGCAACAAAGGUCACUCUGUCCCUGGACACUGCCUCCGUACUUUCUCCUU
This 625-nucleotide long non-coding RNA is filed under the name Pan troglodytes (chimpanzee). RNAcentral describes it as "lincRNA". The stretch from base 107 to 190 matches the Rfam family "mir-22 microRNA precursor family". Lineage: Eukaryota; Metazoa; Chordata; Mammalia; Primates; Hominidae. The record is from RNAcentral.